RNAcentral lists this long non-coding RNA (2414 nucleotides) under Equus asinus (donkey). Its description in RNAcentral is "lncRNA (ENSEASG00005025756.1)". The record is from RNAcentral. Lineage: Eukaryota; Metazoa; Chordata; Mammalia; Perissodactyla; Equidae.
UUUUGCUCGGCGGCGCGGCAGACAGACGUGUACACGUGUGCCUGGCCGUUUUUCGAUCUGCGGUAGCUCAGGCUCCUCGUUCAGUGGGAAGGGAUCCCGGGGCGGGAGGGGGGUGGGGAAUGUGACUGACAGACUUGGGUCCUCCAUCAAUUACAAUUGCCAAUUGUAAUUGGGCAAUGACAGCGGAAUGUAGUAGUCUCCGAGAUGCAGGACGUAGGGGCAGCGCGUUAGGGCCCGGAGGACGAGGCAUCAGAGCCCAAACCUUGGGGUGUGGCAUAGGACCUGGCCGAGGGGCGACGCGUCCAAAUUCUGGGGCCUUGAGAGCCUAGAGUCUCCAGUGAGCAGGGCUACUACGACGUUGAAAGGACCCUCGAGUUAGACUGCGGAGAUGGGCUUUAUCCCCCCACAGUGUAGAGCUGUUGUCAGUUUCAGGCGGGGCGCGCUGUGGCCCUAAUUUCAUUUUAUUAAGGGGCCAGGGUAGGGUCAGACCAGUGGCCUAAAGCCUCCUUGUUGAACUCGGUGGCCAGCUGCCGCUUCUGCAAUGGACAGCCACUCUAACUAAAGCAGGAAGAUAGAGAAAUGCGCCAGCAGCUACAGUCCGUGUACAGCCCUGCAGCCUUGUACCACUGCAGGUAGUAAAGCUGGAGAGCCACUGUUUGGCAACCAGGUCCAGGCAGGCUUGGAGCUGACAGCAUCUCAUUCUGUGGCUUCCUGCCCAGGGGCUCCUCGGAUGCCGGAGUGCCCAGACUCUGCUUUCAGAGGGGCCCAGCCUAAAACAACCCGUUAUAAGAUGAUCUUACUUUCUUGGAAAUGCUGCAUUACAAAAAAAUGGGAAGAAGAAUCAAAAGGAGCGAGAAACAUGAUCGUCUAUGGAGAACCUUCCUUGGAGAAGGGUAGACUCUUGCCUGUUACGCAUUCGUCUGUGUGAGGGGAACGGAGUGAGGGUAGAGGAAGCAGGAUGCUGAGGGAGCUGGAGCAGCUUUGUUGUCUAGGAUGACCCCGUUGCACACCUGAGUUGGCUGCUUACUACUGACUCUCUGAUCCUGGCAGAUGUCCGCCUCUGAACCUGUUUCCUCACCUGUAACACAGAGGCAGUAAAUGCCAACUCAUACGGUGAGACACAGAGACCAUGUCAGCUGAGUGCCGAGCCCGGUGCCCAGGCCCUGGUGUGCGUCAGUAAAUGCUGUCUUGGUGGAACAGCCCUGUGUAAUCAGCUUGGGACUGUCCGGGACCAAGUUUCUCCUGCUGCUUCCUGUGUGCUUACUUCCCUUCCACAGUAAAAUGGUGAGCCUCUCAAAGGCAGUGAUAGAAGUCUGUGAUCAAUAGACACAUUAUCCCUUUCAAAUAAACGACUCCAGCGUUACUGCCCAGACCAGCAGAGGCCUCAGCCCCUAGGGAUUGCUUGCUUCCCAUAGCAGGUCGGUGCCCAGGAAGCCACUCUGAGACAGUUAUGUAUGCAGGAAGUUUAUUGGGGUGGGUUCUUGGGGUCAACACUGUGAUGGAAGGGAAGGAAGCAGGAUGAGGCAGAUGUGGGCUGCGAUGCAGUCACAAGGCCUCAACUGACCCUGUGGGGAGCACUGGAGCUAGAGUGGCCCUUCAGGGUUGUCCUCAGGCUUUAAAUCCCUGCCCUGUCCAGUCAUUGGAUGUGGCUGCCCUGAGAAGGAGGCACUGCCAGCCCGCACAUUCCCGGCCACGGGGAAAGAAGUGAAGUGGGGGCUCUGAGUGGAGCAGCGCCCACCACACCUUCAGUUCUAAUGGGUGGCUCUGGAGGAUGUGGCAGUUACUGCUAGCUCUCCACCCAGUGUCCACUCACCCCUUCUUCCUUAUUAAGAGGUGCCUGAUUGUUUGAGACAGCAGUGUGCCCAAUAAAAAUACUCACUUUCCUAGACUCCUUUGCAGUGGAGGUGGGCCAGCGACCGCACUGUGGCUAGUAAGAUGUAAAUAGCAGUCUGGGCUCCUGAUGACGUGGUGGAGCCGUUAGAGAAAAUGAAAGGCUGUAUCUGCUUAACCUCUGUGAUCAGGUUUCUGUUGUAUGUAACCAAACAGUUCUAAAUGGUUCACAGAGGCAUUAUCAUAUCCUGUCUUAAGAACAGGGUCCUUCAAGUUAAAUGAACGACACCUCUGGGUCCCAGCUCUGUGCAUACCAGCUAGCUCUGUGGAACCUCGGAGGAGUCACUCCACCCGGCUUCCUGUUUCUGUAAAAUGGGAACGACAGGACUACCUGGCACAUGUCUCAUGUAACACUAGGGUAGCCAACUUGUCCCAGUUUGCCUGGACUUGCUCAGUUUUAGCACUGAAACCCCAGACAAACAGGGACAGCUGGUCACCCCAUUAAAACACAUCCCCAAACACCCUACCUCCUUUACGGAUGGAAGACGGCCCUGAAGGCUAAAAAUUCUAUUUGAUGCUGCCCC